GUGUAUGAAACAAACCCUAAGGUUACUUACAAUAUCCUAAACUGAUUAAAAUUCAGCAUAUACU
RNAcentral lists this transfer RNA (64 nucleotides) under Exechonella vieirai. Its description in RNAcentral is "tRNA-Val". The record is from RNAcentral. Lineage: Eukaryota; Metazoa; Bryozoa; Gymnolaemata; Cheilostomatida; Exechonellidae.